AGCAGCCGCGGUAAUUCCAGCUCCAAUAGCGUAUAUUAAAGUUGUUGCAGUUAAAAAGCUCGUAGUUGAAUUUCGGGGUUAGUAGGUCGGUCAUGCCUCAGGUAUGCACUGGUCUCACUGAUUCCUCCUUCCUGAUGAGCCGUAAUGCCAUUAAUUUGGUGUUGCGGGGAAUCUGGACUGUUACUUUGAAAAAAUUAGAGUGUUUAAAGCAGGCUAACGCUUGAAUACAUUAGCAUGGAAUAAUGGAAUAGGACGUUCGAUCCUAUUUUGUUGGUUUCUAGGAUUGACGUAAUGAUUAAUAGGGAUAGUUGGGGGCAUUAGUAUUCAAUUGUCAGAGGUGAAAUUCUUGGAUUUAUUGAAGACUAACUACUGCGAAAGCAUUUGCCAAGGAUGUUUUCAUUAAUCAAGAACGAAAGUUAGGGGAUCGAAGACGAUCAGAUACCGUCGUAGUCUUAACCAUAAACUAUGCCGACUAGGGAUCGGAUGAUGUUAAUUUUUUAAUGUA
Molecule: ribosomal RNA, 505 nt
Filed under: uncultured Glomus
Lineage: Eukaryota; Fungi; Glomeromycota; Glomeromycetes; Glomerales; Glomeraceae
Description: SSU rRNA
Rfam family: Eukaryotic small subunit ribosomal RNA
Source: RNAcentral